GACGAACGCUGGCGGCGUGCUUAACACAUGCGAGUCGAACGGAAAGGCCCUGCUUUUGUGGGGUGCUCGAGUGGCGAACGGGUGAGUAACACGUGAGUAACCUGCCCUUGACUUUGGGAUAACUUCAGGAAACUGGGGCUAAUACCGGAUAGGAGCUCCUGCUGCAUGGUGGGGGUUGGAAAGUUUCGGCGGUUGGGGAUGGACUCGCGGCCUAUCAGCUUGUUGGUGGGGUAGUGGCUUACCAAGGCUUUGACGGGUAGCCGGCCUGAGAGGGUGACCGGCCACAUUGGGACUGAGAUACGGCCCAGACUCCUACGGGAGGCAGCAGUGGGGAAUAUUGCACAAUGGGCGGAAGCCUGAUGCAGCAACGCCGCGUGCGGGAUGACGGCCUUCGGGUUGUAAACCGCUUUCGCCUGUGACGAAGCGUGAGUGACGGUAAUGGGUAAAGAAGCACCGGCUAACUACGUG
RNAcentral lists this ribosomal RNA (468 nucleotides) under uncultured bacterium. Its description in RNAcentral is "partial 16S ribosomal RNA". It matches the Rfam family "Bacterial small subunit ribosomal RNA", at positions 28 to 507 of the family's 1533-position model. The record is from RNAcentral.